RNAcentral lists this ribosomal RNA (2900 nucleotides) under Streptococcus pneumoniae. Its description in RNAcentral is "bacterial LSU rRNA". It matches the Rfam family "Bacterial large subunit ribosomal RNA". The record is from RNAcentral. Lineage: Bacteria; Bacillati; Bacillota; Bacilli; Lactobacillales; Streptococcaceae.
UUAAGUUAAUAAGGGCGCACGGUGGAUGCCUUGGCACUAGGAGCCGACGAAGGACGUGACAAACGACGAUAUGCCUUGGGUAGCUGUAAGUAAGCGAUGAUCCAGGGAUUUCCGAAUGGGGGAACCCAACAGGUAAUACCUGUUACCUACAUCUGUUAAGGAUGUGAGGAGGAAGACGCAGUGAACUGAAACAUCUAAGUAACUGCAGGAAGAGAAAGCAAAAGCGAUUGCCUUAGUAGCGGCGAGCGAAACGGCAGAAGGGCAAACCGAAGAGUUUACUCUUCGGGGUUGUAGGACUGCAAUGUGGACUCAAAGAUUAUAGAAGAAUGAUUUGGGAAGAUCAGCCAAAGAGAGUAAUAGCCUCGUAUUUAAAAUAGUCUUUGUACUUAGCAGUAUCCUGAGUACGGCGGGACACGUGAAAUCCCGUCGGAAUCUGGGAGGACCAUCUCCCAACCCUAAAUACUCCCUAGUGACCGAUAGUGAACCAGUACCGUGAGGGAAAGGUGAAAAGCACCCCGGGAGGGGAGUGAAAUAGAACCUGAAACCGUGUGCCUACAACAAGUUCGAGCCCGUUAAUGGGUGAGAGCGUGCCUUUUGUAGAAUGAACCGGCGAGUUACGUUAUGAUGCGAGGUUAAGUUGAAGAGACGGAGCCGUAGGGAAACCGAGUCUGAAUAGGGCGCCUUAGUAUCAUGACGUAGACCCGAAACCAUGUGACCUACCCAUGAGCAGGUUGAAGGUGCGGUAAGACGCACUGGAGGACCGAACCAGGGCACGUUGAAAAGUGCUUGGAUGACUUGUGGGUAGCGGAGAAAUUCCAAACGAACUUGGAGAUAGCUGGUUCUCUCCGAAAUAGCUUUAGGGCUAGCGUCGACAUUAGAGAUUCUUGGAGGUAGAGCACUGUUUGGGUGAGGGGUCCAUCCCGGAUUACCAAUCUCAGAUAAACUCCGAAUGCCAAUGAAUUAUGGUCGGCAGUCAGACUGCGAGUGCUAAGAUCCGUAGUCGAAAGGGAAACAGCCCAGACCACCAGCUAAGGUCCCAAAAUAAUUGUUAAGUGGAAAAGGAUGUGGGGUUGCACAGACAACUAGGAUGUUAGCUUAGAAGCAGCUAUUCAUUCAAAGAGUGCGUAAUAGCUCACUAGUCGAGUGACCCUGCGCCGAAAAUGUACCGGGGCUAAAACAAUUUACCGAAGCUGUGGAUACCUUUAUAGGUAUGGUAGGAGAGCGUUCUAUGUGUGAUGAAGGUAUACCGUGAGGAGUGCUGGAACGCAUAGAAGUGAGAAUGCCGGUAUGAGUAGCGAAAGACAGGUGAGAAUCCUGUCCACCGUAAGACUAAGGUUUCCAGGGGAAGGCUCGUCCGCCCUGGGUUAGUCGGGACCUAAGGAGAGACCGAAAGGUGUAUCCGAUGGACAACAGGUUGAUAUUCCUGUACUAGAGUAUGUAGUGAUGGAGGGACGCAGUAGGCUAACUAAAGCAGACGAUUGGAAGAGUCUGUCUAAGCAGUGAGGUGUGAAUUGAGUCAAAUGCUUAAUUCUAUAACAUUGAGCUGUGAUGGGGAGCGAAGUUUAGUAGCGAAGUUAGUGACGUCACACUGCCAAGAAAAGCUUCUAGCGUUUAAACAUACUCUACCCGUACCGCAAACCGACACAGGUAGUCGAGGCGAGUAGCCUCAGGUGAGCGAGAGAACUCUCGUUAAGGAACUCGGCAAAAUGACCCCGUAACUUCGGGAGAAGGGGUGCUGACUUAAAGUCAGCCGCAGUGAAUAGGCCCAAGCAACUGUUUAUCAAAAACACAGCUCUCUGCUAAAUCGUAAGAUGAUGUAUAGGGGGUGACGCCUGCCCGGUGCUGGAAGGUUAAGAGGAGUGCUUAGCGUAAGCGAAGGUAUGAAUUGAAGCCCCAGUAAACGGCGGCCGUAACUAUAACGGUCCUAAGGUAGCGAAAUUCCUUGUCGGGUAAGUUCCGACCCGCACGAAAGGCGUAAUGAUUUGGGCACUGUCUCAACGAGAGACUCGGUGAAAUUUUAGUACCUGUGAAGAUGCAGGUUACCCGCGACAGGACGGAAAGACCCCAUGGAGCUUUACUGCAGUUUGAUAUUGAGUGUCUGUACCACAUGUACAGGAUAGGUAGGAGUCUAAGAGAUCGGGACGCCAGUUUCGAAGGAGACGCUGUUGGGAUACUACCCUUGUGUUAUGGCCACUCUAACCCAGAUAGGUGAUCCCUAUCGGAGACAGUGUCUGACGGGCAGUUUGACUGGGGCGGUCGCCUCCUAAAAGGUAACGGAGGCGCCCAAAGGUUCCCUCAGAAUGGUUGGAAAUCAUUCGCAGAGUGUAAAGGUAUAAGGGAGCUUGACUGCGAGAGCUACAACUCGAGCAGGGACGAAAGUCGGGCUUAGUGAUCCGGUGGUUCCGUAUGGAAGGGCCAUCGCUCAACGGAUAAAAGCUACCCUGGGGAUAACAGGCUUAUCUCCCCCAAGAGUUCACAUCGACGGGGAGGUUUGGCACCUCGAUGUCGGCUCGUCGCAUCCUGGGGCUGUAGUCGGUCCCAAGGGUUGGGCUGUUCGCCCAUUAAAGCGGCACGCGAGCUGGGUUCAGAACGUCGUGAGACAGUUCGGUCCCUAUCCGUCGCGGGCGUAGGAAAUUUGAGAGGAUCUGCUCCUAGUACGAGAGGACCAGAGUGGACUUACCGCUGGUGUACCAGUUGUCUUGCCAAAGGCAUCGCUGGGUAGCUAUGUAGGGAAGGGAUAAACGCUGAAAGCAUCUAAGUGUGAAACCCACCUCAAGAUGAGAUUUCCCAUGAUUAUAUAUCAGUAAGAGCCCUGAGAGAUGAUCAGGUAGAUAGGUUAGAAGUGGAAGUGUGGCGACACAUGUAGCGGACUAAUACUAAUAGCUCGAGGACUUAUCCAA